Molecule: ribosomal RNA, 506 nt
Filed under: uncultured bacterium
Lineage: Bacteria
Description: partial 16S ribosomal RNA
Rfam family: Bacterial small subunit ribosomal RNA
Source: RNAcentral
AGUGAACGCUGGCGGUAGGCCUAACACAUGCAAGUCGAACGGCAGCACAGGAGAGCUUGCUCUCUGGGUGGCGAGUGGCGGACGGGUGAGGAAUACAUCGGAAUCUACUCUGUCGUGGGGGAUAACGUAGGGAAGCUUACGCUAAUACCGCAUACGACCUACGGGUGAAAGCAGGGGACCUUCGGGCCUUGCGCGAUUGGAUGAGCCGAUGUCGGAUUAGCUAGUUGGCGGGGUAAAGGCCCACCAAGGCGACGAUCCGUAGCUGGUCUGCGAGGAUGACCAGCCCCACUGGAACUGAGACACGGUCCAGACUCCGACGGGGGGCAGCAGUGGGGAAGAUUGGACAAGGGGCGCAAGCCUGAUCCAGCCAUACCGCGUGGGUGAAGAAGGCCUUCGGGUUGUAAAGCCCUUUUGUUGGGAAAGAAAUCCAGCUGGCUAAUACCCGGUUGGGAUGACGGUACCCAAAGAAUAAGCACCGGCUAACUUCGUGCCAGCAGCCGCCGUAA